This 458-nucleotide ribosomal RNA is filed under the name uncultured bacterium. RNAcentral's name for it is "partial 16S ribosomal RNA". It matches the Rfam family "Bacterial small subunit ribosomal RNA", at positions 338 to 795 of the family's 1533-position model. The record is from RNAcentral.
CCUACGGGAGGCAGCAGUGGGGAAUAUUGCACAAUGGGGGAAACCCUGAUGCAGCGACGCCGCGUGAGUGAAGAAGUAAUUCGUUACGUAAAGCUCUAUCAGCAGGGAAGAAAUACUGACCUUACGGUCAGCAGACGGUACCUGAGUAAGAAGCCCCAGCUAACUACGUGCCAGCAGCCGCGGUAAUACGUAGGGGGCAAGCGUUAUCCGGAUUUACUGGGUGUAAAGGAAGCGUAGACGGUUCGCCAAGUCUGGAGUGAAAUGCCGAAGCUUAACUGCGGAACUGCGUUGGAAACUGGCGAACUAGAGUGCGGGAGGGGUAAGCGGAAUUCCUAGUGUAGCGGUGAAAUGCGUAGAUAUUAGGAGGAACACCGGUGGCGAAGGCGGCUUACUGGACCGUAACUGACGUUGAGGCUCGAAAGCGUGGGGAGCAAACAGGAUUAGAUACCCCAGUAGUC